RNAcentral lists this unclassified non-coding RNA (1560 nucleotides) under Leishmania donovani. RNAcentral describes it as "gene:LdHU3.30.2100(CDS-product:hypothetical_prote in_conserved)". The record is from RNAcentral. Lineage: Eukaryota; Euglenozoa; Kinetoplastea; Trypanosomatida; Trypanosomatidae.
UUGCGUCGAUAGCCGCAAACAAAAAAAAAGGAGCGAAGGCAGCACUUCUGCGCUCGAGGGUAUUUUUCGACCUGUGACGUACAGACAAGCCCACAGCCUCACACACGCAUCAGGAGACAGUGGAGAGGAACCUAAGGAUAUUCGCUGCAAUGUUGUGCUGUUCGGCGGGCCGCGCAGCGGCGGUAGCGGUUUUGGCGGCCAUCCUCUGCGUGUCGGUGCUGGCAGCGCCGCCAGCAUCGGCCGAGGCCGCAGUCCCCAACAGCGCUGCGCGCACGGUUCCACCCUUCGAGCAGUUUUUCGCACAAUCAUUCCAGGUAAGCGUCAUGACGCAGUCGUCUGGCGUCUUCAACGCAACGCUGCGCAUGCGCGCCUCACCAAAUUUCCCGGAGAGGGUGCAGGGCGAGCUGAUCCCAAUCGGCGAGGCGAAGCUCAACAGCCAGAGGCAGACUCUUCUUCCGCACUUCCAGCGCACCCGCAGCUUAGAGGACGACAGGCUCUCCGCUCUCUCGUGCUCCAUGGCCGCCGGCUUUGGCCGAACAAACCGCAAAAAGAAGGGCAGCACCGACGAGAGUGGCAGCGGCGAGUUUGCCGUCGCUGGAAAGGAGGAGCGUCCGUCGCUGCUCAUGGUGGAUCUGCAUCUGCGGCACAGCGAUGCGAUGCAGGGAACGGCGAGCGUGUAUUACCUGCCGGCGGAUUUGAUGGCGCUGCGUGCGCAACGCGAAGGCAUAAAAGAGGGUAGCGCGCCGCCGUCUGCGACGGUCGAGUUUGAAUUCCGCUCCGAGGUGGACCAUAUGAGCGGCAACCCACUCAGUGACGUACAAGCCCUUGCGCACGUCUCGAGCGCCGUGGUGACUAUGGGUGACCAAAGUGGGGCUUCGAAGUCGUCGAGCGUAGCCGGUGAGAAAGUCGAUGAUGGGUCGGCGGCUGCAACCAGGCAGGGUGGCAUAAUCUUCCGCUGGAUCACUGAGCACGAGUUCUCGGCUUAUGUGACGAUUCCGAUCACUGACAAGACGGGUGCGACAUCGACGCACAUGGAGCAAAUUUGGGUCUACGGCUACGCCGUUCCCUCGAAGAGCGUGUUUGAUCGCAAGCAACGCGAGCUGCCGUUGCACAACAGGUACAUGAUGUUCGGCGUAGGCCUCCUGGGCUUUUUCGUGCAGGUUGUCUCUGGUAUUACAGAAGGUAAGAGACGCGCACAGGAGGCAGCCGAUUUGGAGGCGAAGGCGCAGGGGCUGGAGAAGGCCAAGCUGGAGGCGCCGCUUCUUGAGCGGGAGCGCAACAGCAAGAAAAAGAAGUGAAGACGGCGCGUCAGCGAUUUGACGCAAAGAGCGACAGAGGCGCCCGCGCCGGAGGGCUUACACGUGUGCGUCUCGCCCUCUCUCGCCCUUCACCUCCUCUUUUGCACAUCCCUUGUGCUUGGCCCUCCGUGGGCGUGCAUGGAAACAGGAGGAGAAGAGCGCGCUCGUGUACGCUUUCCAUUGUGUGUGUGUGUGUGCCUUCUUCUUUCUCUCUUUUCGAUAUCGAUCUAGUAUGGCAAUCCGCAUCACUAACGUGCAAAAC